UACGUAGGGGGCGAGCGUUGUCCGGAUUCAUUGGGCGUAAAGACCUCGUAGGCGGUUUGGUAAGUCGGCGGUGAAAUUUCGGAGCCCAACUCCGAACGGUCCGUCGAUACUGCCAUGACUCGAGUCCGGUAGGGGAGUGUGGAAUUCCUGGUGUAGCGGUGAAAUGCGCAGAUAUCAGGAGGAACACCGGUGGCGAAGGCGGCACUCUGGGCCGGUACUGACGCUGAGGAGGGAAAGCUAGGGGAGCAAACAGG
RNAcentral lists this ribosomal RNA (254 nucleotides) under uncultured bacterium. RNAcentral describes it as "partial 16S ribosomal RNA". It matches the Rfam family "Bacterial small subunit ribosomal RNA", at positions 524 to 776 of the family's 1533-position model. The record is from RNAcentral.